AAUCAAACACGAAGGAAGCCUGAGGACAAGGGGGCUUGAAAAGAUACACCUUUGAAGUGGACGCACGAAAGCAGCCCGAGAGGCGCGUACGCGGAGGCGACGUCAUAAGGAGACAGAACCUGAUGAGAGCAUCCCAGACAGAACUGCUUCUGUCAGCACUGAGGCUGGGGGCUCGCUCGCCACCAGUCUGUGAGAGCCACCACCAGGAAACAGAGCGCUGGCCCCGCGGGGACAGCCCGGGAGCAAGGUCCCCACGAGCCGGGAUCCAAGAAAACGGGGGUGUCAGGAAGACGUAUCUAGCACCUGCUGUGCCCCUGCAGUUAAACAGGUUUCCUGAGGACCUGGUUCGUCCCACCACGACACCAGGCCCAGGGCGUGAGCUCAGUGAACGCAGUUCUUACUGACGUCAUCACAGCAUCACCAAGGCUGGGAGGGCCGCCUCUCACCCUGGAAACCCCCGUCGUUUACUUGGGCACCAUGAGCGUAUUAAUCAAAGUAGCUUGACUCACGCUAUCGAAUGUUUUCACGUAGGAAAUAAAACACAGGAUAAUUAAAACAACUGCCUAUACCCAGAGUAGAACGCGGAGGAAAGAUCGGUCCUGUGAGCCAGCAGGUUUCAGCCUCACGAGGACGCUCAGUCAAAAGUGCUUCUGAUUCUCUACACGUAUCUACGAUGGACCGAAUCUGAGGGCGCUGCGUGAUGGACACCUGCGAAAUGUGUUAACGGGUAAACCACUGACCCAUCAGUGGCUGAGCUGAGUCCCAGUACACUGAGCUCUUCCAGGAUCCAAUUUCAAAGCUGGAGGGCAAGCGUGAAAUCCCAGCAGCGAUCUCAGAUUUUUCUCAUUCUGUCCACUUAGAUUUUUCCUCGUUUCUCUUAUCACCCUGUGUCCCUAAUGUCCCUAACACCUCUCAUUGCUAACAUCUGUCUUACAAGUAGACAUUUUAAUGCACCAAAUACAUUGUCAUCCACCUGAUUCUUAUUUCCUGUCUGAUAAAGAGGAAACACUGUUGUUUUGCCUUUUUAAAAAAUGUAUUUAUACUUAAAGUAGAUGCAUUUUACAAGAUGAUUUUCAAAAGGUUGGUUACUGUUCUUUUUUAUCUUUACUCAUUGAGUCAUUCCUGAGUUCAUCCCGGAGUUAUUUUUUAGAUAAAUUUGGUGUAAUCUUAUUAAAUUCCUAUAGGUCAGGCAAUCCUAUCUUCUCAAGUUGCUCUUCUCAUUUUUGCUGUAUGCAGUUUUUUGUUUUAUCUUCAACAUUUACAUUCAACUAGAUACUUUUAAGUGGAUUUCAGAAAACAUUAAUUGAUCCCAACAUAUUAAUAUAUAUGUACAUUUGUAUAUAUACACAUACAUAUAUAGAACUAAGCUCUUAAAUUAUUAAAACUUGUUCUAUAAACCGGUAAAACAGAAGUCUGAAACUGCUUUAUAAUUGCAAUCUGUCAUUUUUUUAGAUAAAAGAAACACACCUCGCUCUGUUCCUGUUAACACAGAGUCUGACGUUAAUUAGCAAAGAAGUUUUGGAAUAACUCAGGAGGUUCAGGGGAAAAGCCUGGCAUUUAUAAUCAAGACCAGAAAAUUACUGAACAGAAGCAAGUCAACAAGUAGCUGAAAGCACCCUGGGGCUCUGGCUCGGAGAUCGGCAAGCCUUGCAGAUUUUCUCUAAGCCAUUUCAAUAGCUCGCCACAACCCUUCCCCAUCUUUCAUUUGCUUUUUCAAAUAUAUAAUAAUUCACCUGACAUAUGUCCCAAUUU
Molecule: non-coding RNA, 1752 nt
Organism: Vicugna pacos (alpaca)
Lineage: Eukaryota; Metazoa; Chordata; Mammalia; Artiodactyla; Camelidae
Source: RefSeq, a predicted model, not a curated record